AGAGUUUGAUCCUGGCUCAGGAUGAACGCUGGCGGCGUGCCUAAUACAUGCAAGUCGAACGGGAAGACCAAUUUCGAUUGGUUGGAGAGUGGCGCACGGGUGAGUAACACGUAGCUAACCUGCCCUGAAGACCGGGAUAACGCCUCGAAAGGGGUGCUAAUACCGGAUAAGCUCACAUUGAGUAGGUAGAGGUGAGAAAAAGUUCAGGCGCUUUGGGAGGGGGCUGCGGCCCAUCAGGUAGUUGGUAGGGUAACGGCCUACCAAGCCGAUGACGGGUAGGGGACCUGAGAGGGUGACCCCCCACACUGGGACUGAGACACGGCCCAGACUCCUACGGGAGGCAGCAGUAAGGAAUAUUGCACAAUGGGCGCAAGCCUGAUGCAGCGACGCCGCGUGGGUGAAGAAGGUUUUCGGAUCGUAAAGCCCUUUUCUGCGUGACGAGGAAGGACGGUAGCGCAGGAAUAAGUCUCGGCUAACUACGUGCCAGCAGCCGCGGUAAAACGUAGGAGGCGAGCGUUAUCCGGAAUUACUGGGCGUAAAGCGCGUGUAGGCGGAUUACCAAGUCAUUUGUGAAAGCUCUCGGCUAAACUGGGAGAGGUCGAAUGAGACUGGUAGACUAGAGAGCAGGAGAGGGGUGCGGAAUUCCGGGUGUAGUGGUGAAAUGCGUAGAUAUCCGGAGGAACACCAGUGGCGAAGGCGGCGCCCUGGCCUGCAACUGACGCUAAGACGCGAAAGCAUGGGGAGCGAACGGGAUUAGAAACCCCGGUAGUCCAUGCCGUAAACGAUGCAUACUAGGUGUUCGAUCAGGGGAAACUCUGUUGAGUGCCGCAGCAAACGCGAUAAGUAUGCCGCCUGGGGAGUACGGUCGCAAGGCUAAAACUCAAAGGAAUUGACGGGGGCCCGCACAAGCAGCGGAGCGUGUGGUUUAAUUCGAGCCUACACGAAGAACCUUACCUGGGUUUGACAUAUAGGUAGUAGGGAAUCGAAAGAGGACCGACCUUCGGGAGCCUAUACAGGUGCUGCAUGGCUGUCGUCAGCUCGUGCCGUUAGGUGUUUGGUUAAGUCCAAAAACGAGCGCAACCCUCGGGUCUAGUUACAAGUGUCUAGACCGACUGCCGGCGACAAGCCGGAGGAAGGUGAGGAUGACGUCAAGUCAGCAUGGCCUUUAUAUCCAGGGCUACACACACGCUACAAUGGGCGGUACAAUGGGUCGCGAAGCCGCGAGGUGGAGCCAAUCCUAAAAAGCCGUUCGUAGUUCGGAUUGUAGGCUGCAACUCGCCUGCAUGAAGUCGGAGUUGCUAGUAACCGCAGGUCAGCUAUACUGCGGUGAAUACGUUCCCGGGCCUUGUACACACCGCCCGUCACGUCAUGGAAGCUGGUCACGCUUAAAGUCGGGAAGCUAACCUAACGGAGGCUACCGCCAAAGGCAGGGCCGGUGACUGGGACGAAGUCGUAACAAGGUA
RNAcentral lists this ribosomal RNA (1463 nucleotides) under metagenome. RNAcentral's name for it is "bacterial SSU rRNA". It matches the Rfam family "Bacterial small subunit ribosomal RNA". The record is from RNAcentral.